CAAGCGACUCUCGGCAACGGAUAUCUCGGCUCACGCAUCGAUGAAGAACGUAGCAAAAUGCGAUACUUGGUGUGAAUUGCAGAAUCCCGUGAACCAUCGAGUUUUUGAACGCAAGUUGCGCCCAAAGCCAUCCGGCUAAGGGCACGCCUGCCUGGGCGUCACGCCUC
RNAcentral lists this ribosomal RNA (167 nucleotides) under Youngia paleacea. RNAcentral describes it as "5.8S ribosomal RNA". It matches the Rfam family "5.8S ribosomal RNA". From Rfam's summary of the family: 5.8S ribosomal RNA (5.8S rRNA) is a component of the large subunit of the eukaryotic ribosome. It is transcribed by RNA polymerase I as part of the 45S precursor that also contains 18S and 28S rRNA. The record is from RNAcentral. Lineage: Eukaryota; Viridiplantae; Streptophyta; Magnoliopsida; Asterales; Asteraceae.